Molecule: unclassified non-coding RNA, 173 nt
Filed under: uncultured Sebacina
Lineage: Eukaryota; Fungi; Basidiomycota; Agaricomycetes; Sebacinales; Sebacinaceae
Description: sequence contains ITS1
Source: RNAcentral
AUGAUUGCGAAUGGUUACCUUUGGUGCUGGCUCUCGCGAGCAAGUGCACAUUGGUGGCUUUCAUCCACUACUACCCUUGUGAACCUUUGGCCUCUUGCUCGCUUCGGCUGGCAGAGGAUUUUACACACUCUGAAAUGUAAUGAUAAACUGUUGUGUGCAUAUGCACUACUAUA